AACUGCGUGUUUGCUUUAGGCCAGGGCUGUCCAACCUGCGGCCCCCCAGAUGUUGCUGAACUGCAACUCCCAUGAUUCUUUCAAUGAAACAGAUAGCCAGGGAAGCAUGGGAGUUGUAGUUCAGCAACAUCUGGGGGGGCCGCAGGUCGGACAUCCCUGCUUUAGGCUGUAUCUAGCAGCCAGUGCUGUU
Non-coding RNA from Pelobates cultripes (western spadefoot toad), 190 nucleotides. The record is from the annotation of a GenBank genome assembly. NCBI's taxonomy places the organism in Eukaryota, Metazoa, Chordata, Amphibia, Anura, Pelobatidae.